UACGUAGGGUGCAAGCGUUAAUCGGAAUUACUGGGCGUAAAGCGUGCGCAGGCGGUUUUGUAAGACCGAUGUGAAAUCCCCGGGCUUAACCUGGGAACUGCAUUGGUGACUGCAAGGCUUGAGUGUGUCAGAGGGAGGUGGAAUUCCGCGUGUAGCAGUGAAAUGCGUAGAUAUGCGGAGGAACACCGAUGGCGAAGGCAGCCUCCUGGGAUAACACUGACGCUCAUGCACGUAAGCGUGGGGAGCGAACAGG
RNAcentral lists this ribosomal RNA (253 nucleotides) under uncultured bacterium. RNAcentral describes it as "partial 16S ribosomal RNA". It matches the Rfam family "Bacterial small subunit ribosomal RNA", at positions 524 to 776 of the family's 1533-position model. The record is from RNAcentral.